GUCACCUGCAGUGGAGCACAGCACCUGUGAGAAAGGGGUAGGCCUUGCCAGAUACUUCUCAGAACACAGGAAUGAGGACUCUCUGAUAGCAAUCUGUUGUCAUCCAAUUGACUACACAGGACCAAUGGGCUACAGGCAACACGUCUACCAUGUCAGCAGCAAAAGGGGAGAAUCACUUAUUGGAGACCAACUGUAUUCCAGGCACUCUGCCAAACAUUAGGAUAUUAUAUGAAGAAGAUACGUGUGCUGGUGACUGUUCUCUUCUUCUCAACCCCUAAUAUGAUCUCAUGCACAUGGAUGCUAAUGCAGGCCCAGAUGUCUCCUGGGCUAGAUGAAGAACCACAAUUAUUUGAUUAAAAUGACUUCAACUGGAGUAUACAUCAGGGCCAAAACUUAAAAUCUGAAAAUUUGUCAUUUACAAAUGAAGACUCAACACAAUGCAAUUUUUGUUC
Molecule: long non-coding RNA, 452 nt
Organism: Mirounga angustirostris (Northern elephant seal)
Lineage: Eukaryota; Metazoa; Chordata; Mammalia; Carnivora; Phocidae
Exons: 3
Source: RefSeq, a predicted model, not a curated record